Molecule: long non-coding RNA, 402 nt
Filed under: Ananas comosus (pineapple)
Lineage: Eukaryota; Viridiplantae; Streptophyta; Magnoliopsida; Poales; Bromeliaceae
Description: long non-coding RNA (ACOM_LNC022673)
Source: RNAcentral
UUACCUAGUGAUCGAAAGGAUUCAAAAUCAAUAAUUUUUAAUGGUUGAUUUCUGCCGUUUUCAAGUUUAACGGUGUAGAAGCAUUCAAAUCAGAUAAAACGAUGAUACAAAAUUCUUUAUACUAUCUAUAACAAGAUCAAUAUUUCUGAUAAAAAGUUUUAGUGCUAUAUCACCACUUUUUAUAGAAUUUUUUUUCAGCCGUUAAAAAUGAUUAAUUUUGAAUCCUUUUGAUUGCUAGGAAAAUGAUAUCGAAAAAUCGUAAAAAUUAUUUUCUAGAAACUUCAAAUAUGCUAGAUCAAAUCUAACGGAGCCGAUCGUUGAUUCGGAAAUUUCAUCAUCGAAAACGGCUCAAGAGCACCGAAGCCUCCGUACUCCUGAGAGCACAACAGUCCUGCUAUAUAU